Molecule: RNA transcript, 4125 nt
Organism: Cydia pomonella (codling moth)
Lineage: Eukaryota; Metazoa; Arthropoda; Insecta; Lepidoptera; Tortricidae
Exons: 2
Source: RefSeq, a predicted model, not a curated record
AAUUAUGUGCCUAUUAGUGAACUUAAUAAAAGUUUGUAUUCAAGCUCGUUUAUCAUUGAUUUAUUAGAUGGUUUAUCGCCUUUGUGCCUAAGAUCGUUGAACUCAUAUAAAAUUGUCCAUAACUAAAGUUGUUGGCGCGGUUACAUUUCAAAUUUUUAGUCUCAUUCAGAUUCUUAUGGAUAUAUCUGUACAAACGUUCUAUGUACGCAUUUACGUUUGCAAAUAGAUUUACUUGUCAAACAUUUGUAUUUUGUAGACGCUUCUUACACAUUGUAAAUUUAUUUCAGAAUUAUCGGCGGUUAGUGAUCGUGUGCUAGAAAUUUUUGGGCACCAAUUGGCCAACAUUAGAAGUAGAGAAAACGCAAGAGAUGGGUACCCAACACAGUUGUAUAGGGAGGCAAUCAAUUUCGAAACCCAACACGUGGAUUUGUGCGGACCAAUUUUAUGGUGAAUAUAUCAAAGUACAAUAACAAAAAAGUCGGCAAACAUAAAAAAAUAAUAAAUUUAGAAUUUCAAGACAAAAAUGGCAUAUACAGACGUCAUGUCAACUAGUGAACAGUGUUUUUAUAUAUUUUUAAAUUGUUUAGUUUUUUUAAUGUAUUUAUGUAUCCUAUUUCCUGAUUUUCCCAGGGUAAAACGUGCACCUAAAGUGGGGAAUUGGAACGUUAAAUUUUUUUUAUUGUCUAUAAUAGCAUCAGCGCGGAUCUCACUAAUGGAUCCGUCACUGGUUUGUCUGAAUACGAGAUCAUCAAGUCUGACUUGAACUCUGAUGGAGUGAGACUUCAAAUUGAUAUAGAUAUCAAGUUCCCUAAACUGCAAUUGGAAGCAGGUGAAGCUACGCUACAAUUACAGAAUAUUAUUUUGUUAGCAGUCUAGUAUGCCUCUCAUACUUACUUAUUUAGAAUAUAACAUACCUAAUAUUGACCUAUUGAGUUUUGAGAGAGACAUUAAAAAUAUUACUAUUGCACUAUUAGUGACCUUUUUCUUAAUAACUCCACAUAUAUAGUUCAAGACUAAAGCAGAACAUUGUUUUUGGACAGAUUACUAUACCAUGAAGGGAAAUAUUAUGGAAGCCAUACCGUUAUCUGGUGAAGGAAAGUUGCUGUAAGUUUAAUUUGAAAUGCUUUGAAAACAUAGGUAUUCAAUGAACAAUAAUAGAACCGACACUUUAUAGAGCAAAUAAACUUAUCCGUAUUAUUUCUUCACGCGGGAGCCUUGUAGCUGUUUAUCGGUGGAGUCAAAGAAACAGACAAUCAAGUAAAACCGUAGCGUAGCGUAGUUAUCUCUCUCUAUCACUCUUCCAUAUUUGUGCGACAGUGACAGUUUGCUUUUCGUUCACUACGGAGCGUUAACGAUUGGCAUGUUGUCUACGCGCUCUGGACUGAAAAGCUAUAGGCAAUUAUUGUAUUGUAGCACUGGCAAGCUCCCGCAAUUUUAAGACUGGGUGCACUGUGGGCUGAAAUUCGGCUCUCUUUGACAUAGAAACCGAAGUUGUUAUUUUUUUAUUAUUGAAAUACUUUUUGCCCAGCAUUCUUAUGCUUAUCUAUGAAUUUCGGCCGAUUUGAAAUAACGAGUGUCGAGUUACGAUUUUUAUUCAAAAAAUGUAUGGAGUAGGAACAAAGUAUCAUUAUAUUUCAAUAACCUCAAAAUAUACUGUAAUAUCCUCGCAGAUGUUUAUACUGGCCCUGUAACAUGACCAAAUAAUUAAAAAAUAUAUUGUACUCCCCAAGCGAUAAAACUUUUGUUGAAAAACUUUUAAAAAUUAUGAAGUCUUUAGAUUUCCUAUUGUUCAUACCAUACAUAUUAAUUAUUAAUCUUAAAUGUACGCUAUCAUCAUUGUAAUUGACGGUGCUUGUUACACUUUAACUAAACGUUAACGUGUACUAAAAAUCAAAACACACGUUAUUUUUAAAAGUUGCUAAACAUAAUUAUGUUGGUCAAUUUGAGGAGUGCAACCUUCACUUUAAUUUAUUGUUCCUGUUCCAGGGUCUACCAGGUAUGACAUCUAUUUAUGGUUAUAUAUAAUUAUAUAAUAGUGUGAUUAUAAAAACAAUUACCUAUUAAAAACACAAAUAAAAAAAAUUGCCUAAAGUAAUUUGAUUCAUUCCCUAGUCGUACAAAAAUUGUUUACUUAAACGAUUUUUACUCAGAUUUCAGGAUUACAAUCGGUGAGUAUUGAUUAAUCACUAGCUGCAUUUGAACUGCCUACUUCUGUGUUGCAGCUUCCAAACAACGGAUUUAAGAAUAUGGACUAUAAUUGUACUGCAUGUAUCAGACUAUACCUCUAUUGAAAGCUUUGAGAACUCUGGUUUCAGUAUUAACAGUAUUUUGGUGAGUAUAGUGACUGUAUAGUUUUUAUUUGUCAUAUGAUUUUUUUUAAUGCUAAGUCUACGUACAAGUGUAUUCAGAGGCAACAAGACGUAAAAUAAAUAUACUUAAAGGUGAAUUUAGGUUGUUAAAAAGAUGUAUAUUAACCGAAUUCAUUUUCGCUACCUCAGUAUAUUGUAUUUUUUUAAUCCAUCAAUUUUCUGCCUUUUUUGUCUUUACGUCUCGAAUGCGACGAACAAGAGCAUUUAAAAUGGGAAUUGACCAUGGAUUGACCACUGAAAGACGGGACACAAUAAAUGGCAGUUAGAACAAUAAAGCCAGGGCUAAAACAUUAUACGUGAUUCGGUAUUACGGAGAACUUUUUGGCUUACCCCUGUUACCCCAACUUACGCCAACGCACCCUGUGUGAAAUAAUACCAAUAUUUACCUAUAUUUUAUUCAUUUAUUAAUUGCUUGUAAAUACUGAAUAAAUCAAUCAAUAUUUCCGAAAAAUUUACUUAAGACUAAUACGGAGCAGACUUUCAAAUUAUAACGAAUUAAUUAGCUCCUCAAUUAAUAUGUCUAUUAAAAUAGGAUCUGUUUUACCAAUAACUAUACAUUAAAUCAUGUAACUGGAUCGCAAAUGUGUUAAUCCAGACAGGUGACAGUAACUUUUUAAGAGGUCGAUAUACUUUCUUAUAGUUUAAAACAAAUGUGUACUUUAUAAACAUGCGCAUAUCAUGGGUAGCCACUGGUGACCAAUGACCAUGUACCAAUAACAAUAUUUUUAUUUCUAGUUUUAAAUUUUACUCUGUAGGUAUAUUCAUAAGCGAUAGCAGUAGCUGCUUAUCAUGUGAAUAUUAAGCGUCCACUAGUGUAGUUGAUGUUCUGCCGCUAUUCAUAUCGUAAUGAUUGUGUCUGUUUGCCACAAACAGCUGUGAUUUAAUCGCUAUACACGUCAAAAAUAAGCUUCUUUGUGUUAUCCGAUUGAUUACAGUAGUAACCACUUACUGCAUACAAUUUUAUCACUUAUUUACCUAAUACCUAUGAAUAAAAUGCGAGUAAUUUAUUUAUAGGAAUGGUGCAUAAAGUUAGGAUUUAGAAUAAUAAUAAUGCGUACUGUCAAUAUCAUUCCAAUUUGCGUCAUUCUGACAUCCUUAUUGAGCGUUAAUAUAUACCUAAUGUAUUACUAUGAUGCAGGAACACUGUAUACUGUAUAAUACUGUAGUUAAACCGAUAGUCUCAAAUUAGCGGACGCAUUUUACGUUUCUAAUUGUACUUUAAUUUGAUUGGUUAUACAUAAAUAUAUACCUAGUUACAAUAACAAGUUAAUAACAAACUCGCCCAAUGUCACAAAUAUAUACAUUCGUAAUAACAAGCUUGUUCGGAACUUGUCUCGCAAAUGUCUUUUUCGGCCCUCCGGGCGGAAAGAGUCUUUUUUGCUCCCGCUGCGCUAAACGAAGUUUAAAUACAAUUUUAUACGCGGCACGCAAUGUCCUACUUUUUCUCCCUUGGGAAGCGAAUAACUAUUUCACCAUCAGCGUGCGUCGUUGGGGAUAGGUACGCAUCUCCAAUUUUCUUCCACAUAUCUAACUGGUCCGAUUUACUGUACAUAUAUCUCCUCCAAAGUGGGCCUUUAACUUUAUCCUCCCUUGAAGUUUGGGGUCUAUGAUCCGGUUUUUGGAGAUACAGUUGAAGAAUAGUUAUUUGUAUGUACAACAAGAGAGCAAAGUUUGAUAUUUCUUCGAGUGCUUGUUUUGAGUCCCGUGCAAGCCAAAGAUUCUAUAAAAUAUUCACGAGCGUAGCGAGUGAAUCUAA